CGGGGUGUAGCGCAGUUUGGUAGCGCGCAUCGUUCGGGACGAUGAAGUCGUGGGUUCGAAUCCCGUCACCCCGACCA
This 77-nucleotide transfer RNA is filed under the name Ruminococcus sp. Its description in RNAcentral is "tRNA-Pro". It matches the Rfam family "tRNA". From Rfam's summary of the family: Transfer RNA (tRNA) molecules are approximately 80 nucleotides in length. Their secondary structure includes four short double-helical elements and three loops (D, anti-codon, and T loops). The record is from RNAcentral. Lineage: Bacteria; Bacillati; Bacillota; Clostridia; Eubacteriales; Oscillospiraceae.